CCCCUACAGUGACACACUUCCUUCAAGAAGUCCACAAGAAGUCCAACAAGGCCACACCUCUGAAUAUUGCCACUCCUGAGGCCAAACAUAUUCAAGUCACCACAGAUCUUAAGUAUCUCUCAUCUGAUUGAAGAAGAGUCUGCAGGAACAGUCACCAACGUGAUGAAUUUGAAUUCCAUCACCAUGUGACAAGUUAUGUUAGCUAUUUUUCCUACUUCUGUGUAUAUAAAACUGAGAAAAGAAACACAAGAAAUGCUGAGAAGCCCAAGUGCUACUAAGUCUUCUAGGUGGUCAGGGACUACUUGCAACCUGAGUUGGACUUUAUUCACCGUGGACACAUUUCAUCAGUCUCUACUAGAUCCUCCAUGGGAUGCUUGUGUGAGCCUCCAUCUCCGGCACCUGCUCACACUGAAGACUGUUCCGAGGGAGAAGCACAAGGCCACUGUAGGAACUGGAGUGCUGCUGGACUACUUCUUUGAGCCACACAGGUCUGAACAAAGUACAAGUAUAAUAAUCACAAAAUCCCAAAGAGUAGGGAACCAAGGCUCCCUGUUCUUCAUGACCACCUAGUAAUAAAAGCUGAAAUGGUAAGGCCAUUGACCCAUAAUUAAAUUGUUUUGUAGGGGC
This is a long non-coding RNA of Mastomys coucha (southern multimammate mouse), 627 nucleotides long. RefSeq lists it as uncharacterized. Lineage: Eukaryota; Metazoa; Chordata; Mammalia; Rodentia; Muridae. The transcript has 3 exons. The record is from RefSeq and is a predicted model, not a curated record.